This 465-nucleotide ribosomal RNA is filed under the name Vreelandella stevensii. RNAcentral describes it as "partial 16S ribosomal RNA". It matches the Rfam family "Bacterial small subunit ribosomal RNA", at positions 338 to 795 of the family's 1533-position model. Lineage: Bacteria; Pseudomonadati; Pseudomonadota; Gammaproteobacteria; Oceanospirillales; Halomonadaceae. The record is from RNAcentral.
CCUACGGGUGGCAGCAGUGGGGAAUAUUGGACAAUGGGCGAAAGCCUGAUCCAGCCAUGCCGCGUGUGUGAAGAAGGCCUUCGGGUUGUAAAGCACUUUCAGUGGGGAAGAAAGCCUUGGGGCUAAUACCCUCGAGGAAGGACAUCACCCACAGAAGAAGCACCGGCUAACUCCGUGCCAGCAGCCGCGGUAAUACGGAGGGUGCGAGCGUUAAUCGGAAUUACGGGGCGUAAAGCGCGCGUAGGCGGUCUGAUAAGCCGGUUGUGAAAGCCCCGGGCUCAACCUGGGAACGGCAUCCGGAACUGUCAGGCUAGAGUGCAGGAGAGGAAGGUAGAAUUCCCGGUGUAGCGGUGAAAUGCAUAGAGAUCGGGAGGAAUACCAGUGGCGAAGGCGGCCUUCUGGACUGACACUGACGCUGAGGUGCGAAAGCGUGGGUAGCAAACAGGAUUAGAUACCCGUGUAGUC